Molecule: ribosomal RNA, 466 nt
Filed under: uncultured bacterium
Lineage: Bacteria
Description: partial 16S ribosomal RNA
Rfam family: Bacterial small subunit ribosomal RNA
Source: RNAcentral
GAUGAACGCUGGCGGCGUGCUUAACACAUGCAAGUCGAACGAUGAAGCCCAGCUUGCUGGGUGGUUUAGUGGCGAACGGGUGAGUAACACUUGAGUAACCUGCCCUUAACUCUGGGAUAAGCCUGGGAAACUGGGCCUAAUACCGGCUAGGAGCGUCCACCGCAUGGUGGGUGUUGGAAAUUCUUAUCGGAUUUGGAUGGACUCGCGGCCUAUCAGCUUGUUGGUGAGGUAAUGGCUCAGCAAGGCGACGCCGGGUAGACGGCCUGAGAGGGUGACCGGCCACACGGGGACAGAGACACGGCACGGAGCCGUACGGGAGACAGAAGUGGGGAAGAAUGCACAAUGGGCGAAAGCAGGAUGCAGGAAGGCCGCGUGAGGGAUGACGGCCUUCUGGUUGUAAACCUCUUUCAGUAGGGAAGAAGCGAAAGUGACGGUACCUGCAGAAGAAGCACCGGCUAACUACGUG